GUAAUGAGGGAAGCUCGCAAGAGCAAGGAUACAGGUGGUGCAUGGUUGUCGUCAGCUCGUGUCGUGAGAUGUUGGGUUAAGUCCCGCAACGAGCGCAACCCUUGUUGUUAAUUGCUAACAGGUUAAGCUGAGCACUUUAGCGAGACAGCCUAGGUUAACUAGGAGGAAGGUGGGGAUGACGUCAAAUCAUCAUGCCCCUUACGUUUAGGGCUACACACGUGCUACAAUGGUGAGAACAGAGAGAAGCAAGCUAGUGAUAGUGAGCAAAACUUAUAAAACUCAUCUCAGUUCGGAUUGCAGGCUGAAACUCGCCUGUAUGAAGAUGGAGUUGCUAGUAAUCGCGAAUCAGAAUGUCGCGGUGAAUACGUUCCCGGGUCUUGUACACACCGCCCGUCACACCAUGAGAGUUGGCAACACCCGAAACCUGUGGGCUAACCAUAUAGGAGGCAGCAGUCUAAGGUGGGGUCAGUGAUUGGGGUGAAGUCGUAACAAGGUAGCCGUAGGAGAACCUGCGGCUGGAUCA
Molecule: ribosomal RNA, 523 nt
Filed under: uncultured bacterium
Lineage: Bacteria
Description: bacterial SSU rRNA
Rfam family: Bacterial small subunit ribosomal RNA
Source: RNAcentral